GAUGAACGCUGGCGGCGUGCCUAACACAUGCAAGUCGAGCGAACCCUUCGGGGUGAGCGGCGGACGGGUGAGUAACGCGUGGGUAACCUGCCCUACACACACGGAUAACGUACCGAAGGGUACGCUAAUACGGGAUAAAGUUGUUGGAUGGCAUCUUCUAACAAUCAAAGCUCCGGCGGUAUAGGAUGGACCCGCGUCUGAUUAGCGAGUUGGUGGGGUAAUGGCUCACCAAGGCGACGAUCAGUAGCCGACCUGAGAGGGUGAUCGGCCACACUGGAACUGAGACACGGUCCAGACUCCUACGGGAGGCAGCAGUGGGGAAUAUUGCACAAUGGGCGAAAGCCUGAUGCAGCAACGCCGCGUGAGCGAUGAAGGUCUUCGGAUCGUAAAGCUCUGUCCUCAAGGAAGAUAAUGACGGUACUUGAGGAGGAAGCCCCGGCUAACUACGUGCCAGCAGCCGCCGUAA
This 466-nucleotide ribosomal RNA is filed under the name uncultured bacterium. RNAcentral describes it as "partial 16S ribosomal RNA". It matches the Rfam family "Bacterial small subunit ribosomal RNA", at positions 28 to 523 of the family's 1533-position model. The record is from RNAcentral.